CCUACGGUAGGCUGCAGUGGGGAAUAUUGCACAAUGGGGUAAACCCUGAUGCAGCCACGCCGCGUGAGUGAGGAAUUAUUUCGGUGUGUAAAGCUCUAUCAGCAGGGGAUAGAAAAGAAGGUACCUGAAAAAGAAGCCCCGGCUAAAUACGUGCCAGCAGCGGCGGUAAGACGGAGGGGGCAAGCGUUAUCCGGAUUUACUGGGUGUAAAGGGAGGGUAUACGGAAAGGCAAGUCAGAAGUGAAAACCCAAGGCUCAACCAUGGGACUGCUUUUGAAACUGUCAAACUAGAGUACGCGAGAGGUAAGAGGAAUUCCUAGUGUAGCGGUGAAAUGCGUAGAUAUUAGGAGGAACACCAGUGGCGAAGGCGUCAUACUGGACCGAAACUGACGUUGAGGCUCGAAAGCGUGGGGAGCAAACAGGAUUAGAUACCCCAGUAGUC
Molecule: ribosomal RNA, 441 nt
Filed under: uncultured bacterium
Lineage: Bacteria
Description: partial 16S ribosomal RNA
Rfam family: Bacterial small subunit ribosomal RNA
Source: RNAcentral